Molecule: long non-coding RNA, 4772 nt
Organism: Oncorhynchus keta (chum salmon)
Lineage: Eukaryota; Metazoa; Chordata; Actinopteri; Salmoniformes; Salmonidae
Exons: 3
Source: RefSeq, a predicted model, not a curated record
CUCUCUCUCUCUCUCUCUUCUCUUUACCCUCUGUCUAUCUCUCUCUCUCUCUCUCUCUCUCUCUCUAUCUUCUCUUUACCCUCUGUCUAUCUCUCUCUCUCUCUCUCUUCACUCUGUCUAUUUCUCUAGCUGCUUUGUGUUUUUCUUUAUUCCCUUUCUUUCUCUCUCUUUACCAUCUUCUCCUCUCUCUCCCCUCUCUCUCUCUCCCUCCCUCCCUCUCUCUUUCUCUCUUCUCAAUCCCCAUUCCCCUCUAUAUCUGUCAUAUCUCGCUCUUUCCCCUCUCUCUGUCUCUUUCCCCUCUCUCUGUCUCUUUCCCCUCUCUCUGUCUCUUUCCCCUCUCUGUCUCUUUCCCCUCUCUCUGUCUCUUUCCCCUCUCUCUGUCUCUUUCCCCUCUCUCUGUCUCUUUUCCCUCUAUCUUAGUUGUCUCCCUCUUUCUGUUCCCUCCCUUCUAUCUGACUAUGUUUUUGUUUAAUGAGGUUAGACAUCUAAUUUGAUGUCUGCCAUUAUCCAUGAUAUUACGGCAGGUCAGGGAAAUAAUCAAUAGCCGUAACAUCAAUACAACAUUUACAUUAUCUACUACGCACCAAACACUGUUGACAGGGUAUAAUCAUUGCGUCCAUCCACAGAGGCUGGCUGUUGGGUCACAAAGGGUUUCAUGUUCCUGUCUGUCUGAGUACUAAGAUGUAGACCAGUAGAAUGUCUGUUUGUCUCACCUGUCUGCCUGAGUACUGAGCUGUAGACAGGUAGAAUGUCUGUCUGCCUGAGUACUGAGCUGUAGACAGGUAGAAUGUCUGUCUGCCUGAGUACUGAGCUGUAGACAGGUAGAAUGUCUGUCUGCCUGAGUACUGCGCUGUAGACAGGUAGAAUGUCUGUCUGCCUGAGUACUGAGCUGUAGACAGGUAGAAUGUCUGUCUGCCUGAGUACUGCGCUGUAGACAGGUAGAAUGUCUGUCUGCCUGAGUACUGAGCUGUAGACAGGUAGAAUGUCUGUCUGUCUGAGUACUGAGCUGUAGACAGGUAGAAUGUCUGUCUGCCUGAGUACUGAGCUGUAGACAGGUAGAAUGUCUGUCUGCCUGAGUACUGAGCUGUAGACAGGUAGAAUGUCUGUCUGCCUGAGUACUGCGCUGUAGACAGGUAGAAUGUCUGUCUGCCUGAGUACUGAGCUGUAGACAGGUAGAAUGUCCGUCUGUCUGAGUACUGAGCUGUAUACAGGUAGAAUGUCUGUCUGUCUGAGUACUGAGCUGUAGACAGGUAGAAUGUCUGUCUGCCUGAGUACUGAGCUGUAGACAGGUAGAAUGUCUGUCUGCCUGAGUACUGAGCUGUAGACAGGUAGAAUGUCUGUCUGUCUGAGUACUGAGCUGUAGACAGGUAGAAUGUCUGUCUGUCUGAGUACUGAGCUGUAGACAGGUAGAAUGUCUGUCUGUCUGAGUACUGAGCUGUAGACAGGUAGAAUGUCUGUCUGUCUGAGUACUGAGCUGUAGACAGGUAGAAUGUCUGUCUGUCUGAGUACUGAGCUGUAGACAGGUAGAAUGCCUGUCUGUCUCACCUGUCUGUCUGAUCGGACGAACACAUAUCAUCUAAUUCCAUGACAGAAAUGACAAAAUUAUAUGACAGAUCAUUUUAUUUUUUUCAUUUUGUUCAGCUGUCGAAUAAUUAACAUUCACAAUGAAGCAAAUAGGUUUUUUCUCGUUUUUUUUUCAAUUCUGCAUAUGUUGAGGAAGCAGAGCCAACCAUACAGUUGUGUGAUACCUUGUUUUAGACAUUAGUAAGAAUACUACACUAUUGGAGAUGGUAUCAACCAGUGGAGGCUGCUGAUGGGGAGGACGGCUCAUAAUAAUGUCUGGAACGGCGUCAAUGGAAUGGUAUCAAACACAUCAAACACGUGGUUUCCAUGGUUUCCAUGGUUUCCAUGGUUUCCAUGUGUUUGAUACCAUUCCAUUGACGCCGUUCCAGACAUUAUUAUGAGCCAUCCUCCCCAUCAGCAGCCUCCACUGAUAUCAACUGGUGUCGGGUUUCACUUCAAGUUCUGAUGUGGCUCAGUUGGUAGAGCAUGGUGCAUGUAAUGCCAGGGUUGUGGGUUUGAUUCCCUUGGUGGACUGGUAUGAAAAUGUAUCCACUCACGACUGAAAGUUGCUCUGUAGAAGAGCAUCUCCUAAAAGGUCAAUGUUUUUUAAGGGUGAGAAUGUUGUAAACUAGAGAGAAAUAUCCACUGGAUGUCUCUGUUUAUAGGUCUUUGUUUUCCUGUUUCAACGUUUGAAUUUAAGUUCAUCUAUCUGUCAUAUUAAUGAUCAACUGUCAUAUUAAUGAUCAACUCUGUCAUAUUAAUGGAAGCGAUGUUCAUACUUAGACACAAAUUCAGAAACAGAUUUUUUAUCAGAUGAUACCAGUUGAUGGAAAUCAAAUACAGUAUGCCAACUUGUGCAAUGUGAUAUAUCAUUGUAUCUACAAAACUCACGACAAUGUGAUAUAAAACAAUUAUUAUAUAGUUUUAUGUAAUUUGUUUGCCUUCUCAUAGGCCCUAUAUAAAUUAAUUAUUGAAGAAGAAAUCAUUUAGAUUUUAUUUGUAUGGUGUGUAAUUUAUGUUUUUUCAUUUCAGUAAAACAAAAGUGAUAAAUGGAUGAUUUGAUUCCUGGUAUCUCUAGAAAGUGUUCCUAGAAUGAUUGCUUUAGAUCAGGGUGGCCAACCCUCCUCCUGGAAAGAUACCCUCCACCUGGAGAGAUACCCUCCACCUGGAGAGAUACCCUCCUCCUGGAAAGUUACCCUCCUCCUGGAGAGAUACCUUCCACCUGGAGAGAUACUUUCCUCCUGGAAAGUUAACCUCCUCCUGGAGAGAUACCUUCCUCCUGGAAAGAUGCCCUCCUCCUGGAGAGAUACCUUCCUCCUGGAGAGAUACUUUCCUCCUGGAGAGAUACUUUCCUCCUGGAGAGAUACCUUCCUCCUGGAGAGAUACUUUCCUCCUGGAGAGAUACCUUCCUCCUGGAGAGAUUCCCUCCUCCUGGAAAGUUACCCUCCUCCUGGAGAGAUACCCUCCUCCUGGAGAGAUAGCCUCCCGUUUGAUUUUAUUCCAACCCUGCACCUACACACCAGACUCUACUAACCAGCUGGUCCCCAAGACCGUGAUUAUCUUGAAUCAGGUGUGUUAGAGCAGGGCUGGAACAAAAGCCUGCAGGGUUGGAAUAAAAGACUAUCUCUGAUCUAACUGUGUCCUAACAAAUAUGCAUCCCAAAUGGCACCCUAUACCAUAUACAGUGCAAUACUUUUGACCAGUGCCCAUGGUCAAAAGUAGGGAAUAGGGUGCCAUUUGGGACACAAUCUAACUGUGCCCUAACAUAGAUGCUAUCUAACAGAGAUGCCCUAACAGAGAUGCUAUCUAACAGAGAUGCUAUCUAACAGAGAUGCCCUAACAGAGAUGCUAUCUAACAGAGAUGCUAUCUAACAGAGAUGCUAUCUAACAGAGAUGCCCUAACAGAGAUGCUAUCUAACAGAGAUGCUAUCUAACAGAGAUGCUAUCUAACAGAGAUGCGAUCUAACAGAGAUGCUAUCUAACAGAGAUGCUAUCUAACAGAGAUGCCCUAACAGAGAUGCUAUCUAACAGAGAUGCUAUCUAACAGAGAUGCCCUAACAGAGAUGCUAUCUAACAGAGAUGCUAUCUAACAGAGAUGCUAUCUAACAGAGAUGCCCUAACAGAGAUGCUAUCUAACAGAGAUGCCCUAACAGAGAUGCGAUCUAACAGAGAUGCGAUCUAACAGAGAUGCUAUCUAACAGAGAUGCUAUCUAACAGAGAUGCUAUCUAACAGAAAUGCCCUAACAGAGAUGCUAUCUAACAGAGAUGCCCUGACAGUGAUGCCCUAAAAGAGAUGCUAUCUAACAGAGAUGCUAUCUAACAGAGAUGCUAUCUAACAGAUAUACCCUAACAGACAUGUUAUCUAAUAGAGAUACCCUAACAGAGAGGCUAUCUAACAGAGAUACCCAAACAGAGAUGCUAUCUAACAGAGAUGCUAUCUAACAGAUAUACUCUAACAGAGAUGCUAUCUAACAGAGAUACCCAAACAGAGAUGCUAUCUAGCAGAGAUGCUAUCUAACAGAGAUGCCGUAACAGAGAUGCUAUCUAACAGAGAUACCCAAACAGAGAUGCUAUCUAACAGAGAUACCCUAACAGAGAUGCUAUCUAGCAGAGAUACCCAGACAGAGAUGCUAUCUAACAGAGAUGCUAUCUAACAGAGAUACCCAAACAGAGAUGCUAUCUAACAGAGAUACCCAAACAGAGAUGCUAUCUAACAGAGAUACCCAAACAGAGAUGCUAUCUAACAGAGAUGCUAUCUAACAGAGAUACCCUAACAGAGAUGCUAUCUAACAGAGAUACCCAAACAGAGAUGCUAUCUAACAGAGAUGCUAUCUAACAGAGAUAGCCUAACAGAGAUGCUAUCUAACAGAGAUACCCAAACAGAGAUGCUAUCUAACAGAGAUGCUAUCUAACAGAGAUGCUAUCUAACAGAGAUGCUAUCUAACAGAGAUACCCUAACAGAGAUGCUAUCUAACAGAGAUGCUAUCUAACAGAGAUGCCCUAACAGAGAUGCGAUCUAACAGAGAUGCUAUCUAACAGAGAUGCUAUCUAACAGAGAUGCUAUCUAACAGAGAUGCUAUCUAACAGAAAUGCCCUAACAGAGAUGCUAUCUAACAGAGAUGCCCUGACAGUGAUGCCCUAAAAGAGAUGCUAUCUAACAGAGAUGCUAUCUAACAGAGAUGCUAUCUAACAGAUAUACCCUAACAGAC